This 502-nucleotide unclassified non-coding RNA is filed under the name Hevea brasiliensis (rubber tree). Lineage: Eukaryota; Viridiplantae; Streptophyta; Magnoliopsida; Malpighiales; Euphorbiaceae. The record is from RNAcentral.
GGGAUGGAAGGAAAAUUUUCUAUCUACAGCAGCUAGAAAUCUUUUACUAAAAUCUGUAAUCCAAGUUAUCCCUCCUAUUAUAUAGUGUUUUCGUUUGCCAUCAUCGUUUUGUGAUGAAUUGCGCAUGAUGAUUAGUCAAUUUUGGAGGCGCCAAAAUGCGGAGGAAAAACAGAUGCGGCUAUGUUCUUGGCAACAAUUGUGUCGCUUGAAAGAGGAAGAGGAUCUCAGGUUUAGGGAUUUGAUUGCUUUAAUCAAGCUUUGUUGGAUAAGCAGGGUGAAGGUUAAUUCAGCUUCCGGAUUCCUUAAUAUCUCGAUUGUUGAAGGCUCGAUAUUGUCCUCGGUUUCAUUUCUUGAUACUCCAAUUGGCUCUAAUCCUGGUUACACCUGGUGGAGCAUUUUAUUUGGAAGGGAUGUUUUAUUACAAGGAUUGUGGUGGCAGAUAGGAUAGACAGCUAGUUAAUAUAUGGAGAGACCCAUGGCUUCCCCAACCUUUAUCUUUCCG